AUGAAGCCGGAAUUGCUAGUAAUGGCAGGUCAGCAUACUGCCGUGAAUACGUUCCCGGGCCUUGUACACACCGCCCGUCACACCAUGAGAGUUGGAAAUACCCGAAGCCUGUGAGCUGACGAGUUACGGGGCAGCAGUCGAAGGUAGAGCCAAUGAUUGGGGUGAAGUCGUAACAAGGUAGC
RNAcentral lists this ribosomal RNA (182 nucleotides) under uncultured bacterium. RNAcentral describes it as "partial 16S ribosomal RNA". It matches the Rfam family "Bacterial small subunit ribosomal RNA", at positions 1320 to 1500 of the family's 1533-position model. The record is from RNAcentral.